UACAGAGGUCCCAAGCGUUGUUCGGAUUCAUUGGGCGUAAAGGGUGCGUAGGCGGUGGGGUAAGUUGGAUGUGAAAUCUUGGGGCCUAACCUCAAAAUUGCAUUCAAUACUGCUCCGCUCGAGUUCUGUAGAGGAGAUUGGAAUUUACGGUGUAGCAGUGAAAUGCGUAGAUAUCGUAAGGAACGCCAGUGGCGAAAGCGAAUCUCUGGGCAGCAACUGACGCUGAGGCACGAAGGCCAGGGGAGCAAACGGG
Molecule: ribosomal RNA, 253 nt
Filed under: uncultured bacterium
Lineage: Bacteria
Description: partial 16S ribosomal RNA
Rfam family: Bacterial small subunit ribosomal RNA
Source: RNAcentral